AACGAACGCUGGCGGCAGGCUUAACACAUGCAAGUCGAGCGCCCCGUACGGGGCGCGGCGGACGGGUGUGUAACGCGUGGGAACGUAUCUUUUGGUUUUGAACAACUCCGCGAGACUGGAGCUAUUACCGGAUAAGCCCUAACGGGGAAAGAUUUAUCGCCGAAGGAUCGGCCCGCGUCUGAUUAGCUAGUUGGUGGGGUAACGGCUCACCAAGGCGACGAGCAGUAGCUGGUCUGAGAGGAUGAUCAGCCACACUGGGACUGAGACACGGCCCAGACUCCUACGGGAGGCAGCAGUGGGGAAUAUUGGACAAUGGGCGCAAGCCUGAUCCAGCCAUGCCGCGUGAGUGAUGAAGGCCUUAGGGUUGUAAAGCUCUUUUGUCCGGGAAGAUAAUGACUGUACCGGAAGAAUAAGCCCCGGCUAACUUCGUG
Molecule: ribosomal RNA, 431 nt
Filed under: uncultured bacterium
Lineage: Bacteria
Description: partial 16S ribosomal RNA
Rfam family: Bacterial small subunit ribosomal RNA
Source: RNAcentral